GACGAACGCUGGCGGCGUGCUUAACACAUGCAAGUCGAACGGAAAGGCCCUGCUUUUGUGGGGUGCUCGAGUGGCGAACGGGUGAGUAACACGUGAGUAACCUGCCCUUGACUUUGGGAUAACUUCAGGAAACUGGGGCUAAUACCGGAUAGGAGCUCCUGCUGCAUGGUGGGGGUUGGAAAGUUUCGGCGGUUGGGGAUGGACGCGCGGCUUAUCAGCUUGUUGGUGGGGUAGUGGCUUACCAAGGCUUUGACGGGUAGCCGGCCUGUGAGGGUGACCGGCCACAUUGGGACUGAGAUACGGCCCAGACUCCUACGGGAGGCAGCAGUGGGGAAUAUUGCACAAUGGGCGGAAGCCUGAUGCAGCAACGCCGCGUGCGGGAUGACGGCCUUCGGGUUGUAAACCGCUUUCGCCUGUGACGAAGCGUGAGUGACGGUAAUGGGUAAAGAAGCACCGGCUAACUACGUG
This 468-nucleotide ribosomal RNA is filed under the name uncultured bacterium. RNAcentral's name for it is "partial 16S ribosomal RNA". It matches the Rfam family "Bacterial small subunit ribosomal RNA", at positions 28 to 507 of the family's 1533-position model. The record is from RNAcentral.